RNAcentral lists this ribosomal RNA (501 nucleotides) under Dictyopterini sp. UPOL ZL2013. RNAcentral's name for it is "partial 16S ribosomal RNA". The record is from RNAcentral. Lineage: Eukaryota; Metazoa; Arthropoda; Insecta; Coleoptera; Lycidae.
CAUGGUUUUUUGAUUAUAAUCUAAAAUUUGGUCUGCUCAAUGAUUAAUUAAAUUGCCGCAGUAUUUUAACUGUGCGAAGGUAGCAUAAUAAUUAGUUUCUUGAUUAGAAGCUGGAAUGAAUGAUUGGACGAUAAAUUGACUGUCUCUAUAUAAUUAAUUUAUUAAUUUUAUUUUUAAGUUAAAAAGCUUAGAUUUUGUUAAAAGACGAGAAGACCCUAUAGAGUUUAAUAGAAGGAAUAAUUACUUGAUUUGGUAAAUUUAUAUUAUUUUUUUUAUUUGAUUGGGGUGAUCUAAAAAUUUAAUUAAUUUUUUUACAAUUUAAUUUUUAAUUUAAAAAUUUGUAAUCUAUAAUUUUAAAAUUAAAACAAAUUACCUUAGGGAUAACAGCGUAAUUUUCUUUUAAAGUUCUUAUUGAAAAGAAAGUUUGCGACCUCGAUGUUGGAUUAAAAUUUAUAUUUGGUGCAGUAACUGAGUUAUUAAGUCUGUUCGACUUUUGAAAUU